GAUGAAGAACGUAGCGAAAUGCGAUAAGUAAUGUGAAUUGCAGAAUUCAGUGAAUCAUCGAAUCUUUGAACGCACAUUGCGCCCGCCAGUAUUCUGGCGGGCAUGCCUGUUCGAGCGUCAUUUCAACCAUCAAGCCCCCGGCUUGUGUUGGGGACCUGCGGCUGCCGCAGGCCCUGAAAACCAGUGGCGGGCUCGCUAGACACUCCGAGCGUAGUAAUACAUCUCGCUCAGGGCGUGCUGCGGGUUCCGGCCGUUAAAAGCCUUAUUUACCCAAGGUUGACCUCGGAUCAGGUAGGAAGACCCGCUGAACUUAAGCAUAUCAAUAAGCGGAGGA
RNAcentral lists this unclassified non-coding RNA (334 nucleotides) under soil metagenome. RNAcentral's name for it is "partial contains 5.8S ribosomal RNA, internal transcribed spacer 2, and large subunit ribosomal RNA". The stretch from base 1 to 120 matches the Rfam family "5.8S ribosomal RNA", at positions 35 to 154 of the family's 154-position model. The record is from RNAcentral.